UGGAAGUCAGGUCGGAUUAAGCCAUAGUACGGAAAAAACUAUGCUACCUGUGAGCCCCGUCCAAGGACGUUAAAAGAAGUCAGGCCACUACAAGUGCCAUAGCUUGAGUAAACUAUGCAGCCUGUAGCUCCACCUGAGAAGGUGUAAAAAAUCUGGGAGGCCACAAACCAUGGAAGCUGUACGCAUGGCUUAGUGGACUAGCGGUUAGAGGAGACCCCUCCCUUACAAAUCGCAGCAACAAUGGGGGCCCAAGGUGAGAUGAAGCUGUAGUCUCACUGAAAGGACUAGAG
Molecule: long non-coding RNA, 290 nt
Filed under: dengue virus type 2
Lineage: Riboviria; Orthornavirae; Kitrinoviricota; Flasuviricetes; Amarillovirales; Flaviviridae
Description: Dengue virus 2 partial sfRNA1
Rfam family: Flavivirus DB element (bases 156-227)
Source: RNAcentral